ACCUGCCUGGCUCAUUCAGUAGAGCAUGUGACUCCUGAUCUCAGGGUUGUGAGUUCAAGCCCCAUGUUGGGCU
Molecule: transfer RNA, 73 nt
Filed under: Canis lupus familiaris (dog)
Lineage: Eukaryota; Metazoa; Chordata; Mammalia; Carnivora; Canidae
Also listed under: 3 other names
Rfam family: tRNA
About the family: Transfer RNA (tRNA) molecules are approximately 80 nucleotides in length. Their secondary structure includes four short double-helical elements and three loops (D, anti-codon, and T loops).
Source: Rfam by way of RNAcentral